This is a non-coding RNA of Prunus mume (Japanese apricot), 864 nucleotides long. The record is from RefSeq and is a predicted model, not a curated record. Lineage: Eukaryota; Viridiplantae; Streptophyta; Magnoliopsida; Rosales; Rosaceae.
AGAUACAGAAAGUUCACACGGACAACCCCCUCUGAAGGCCUCAACUACAUUUUCACUCAUCCCUGCAGUCUGUAUCACUGCAUUAUGGUUGUGUGAGUUUUCAAGCCAGAAGUCACGUAUGGAAGAUGCAAUCACAUGUAUGAGGAUGGCAAACAUUAUGAUGGCCCCUUCAUACCAACCGGUCCUUAGGCCUUCCACCUUGAUGCCAAACCCAAUUGACAGCAAUCCAGCCACAAAGAGAAGGACAAUGGUGUAAUUGUUGCACGAUUGAAGGAGAAGUUUGAAGAAGCUUGGAGCAGGAGCCUGUGUUGUCGAGAGUGCAUUGACCAUGCGUCGAUGACAAAUAUCUUCUUGUUCGCCUGAAAUUCCAAUUUGUAAAUCUGUGUUGAGUGCCUCUGCAAUCCCUAGGGUGCCUCCAAACUUCUGCAAGGAAACAAAAUCCUCGUCCUUCACUAUCUUGGCAACAUUUGCAUGCUGGAGUUCAGCAUCACUUGCAGUACUAUCCCUGCUCAAAUGGACAUCAGAAACUUGAGCAACAGUGCUGGUAACUGUAUAAUGGAUAGCGGAUGAUGAGGGUUGAGGAAGAGAUUGAGGAGAUGCCUUGUCAGCUCGAUUGGCUCUUGAUGAGAUGAGGAGUUUGCGCACUUGGAGGAUCACAAAAAUCCAGCGCCAGUGGUCGACUCGUGGCGGGUUGGUACCGGUUAUGAGCAACACCGUCUGCUGAGACUCGAGGUCUAAAUGGUGCCCAGAGCUUCUUGUGUCUGUCAUACUAGUAGCUAGCUGGUGGCUUUGGUGCUUAUCCAACCUUAUUGCAAAGACGAAAAUUAAUGCAAAAAUUAAAUGGAAGAGAUUGAGUUAAAACGA